CUGAGUUUGAUCCUGGCUCAGGACGAACGCUGGCGGCGUGCUUAACACAUGCAAGUCGAGCGGUAAGGCCCUUCGGGGUACACGAGCGGCGAACGGGUGAGUAACACGUGAGUAAUCUGCCCUCCACUUCGGGAUAAGCCUCGGAAACGGGGUCUAAUACCGGAUAUGACCACUUCAUGCAUGUGAUGGUGGUGGAAAGUUUUUCGGUGGGGGAUGUGCUCGCGGCCUAUCAGCUUGUUGGUGGGGUAAUGGCCUACCAAGGCUUCGACGGGUAGCCGGCCUGAGAGGGUGACCGGCCACACUGGAGACUGUAGACACGGCCCAGACUCCUACGGGAGGCAGCAGUGGGGAAUAUUGGACGAAGUGGGCGGAAGCCUGUAUCCAGCACACGCCGCGUGAGGGAUGACGGCCUUCGGGUUGUAAACCUCUUUCAGUGGGGACGAAGCGCAAGUGACGGUACCCACAGAA
This 468-nucleotide ribosomal RNA is filed under the name Nocardioides sp. Gbf-Lam-13. RNAcentral's name for it is "bacterial SSU rRNA". It matches the Rfam family "Bacterial small subunit ribosomal RNA", at positions 1 to 486 of the family's 1533-position model. Lineage: Bacteria; Bacillati; Actinomycetota; Actinomycetes; Propionibacteriales; Nocardioidaceae. The record is from RNAcentral.